RNAcentral lists this transfer RNA (87 nucleotides) under Thermoprotei archaeon. Its description in RNAcentral is "tRNA-Ser". It matches the Rfam family "tRNA". Rfam says of the family: Transfer RNA (tRNA) molecules are approximately 80 nucleotides in length. Lineage: Archaea; Thermoproteati; Thermoproteota; Thermoprotei. The record is from RNAcentral.
GCCGGGAUGCCCGAGUGGUAAAGGGGUCGGCCUGCUAAGCCGAUGGGGUUUUACCCCGCGUGGGUUCGAAUCCCACUCCCGGCGCCA